UACGUAGGGGGCGAGCGUUGUCCGGAAUUAUUGGGCGUAAAGAGCGUGUAGGCGGUUCGGUAAGUCUGCCGUGAAAACCCAGGGCUCAACCCUGGGCGUGCGAUGGAUACUGCCGGGCUAGAGGGUGGUAGAGGCGAGUGGAAUUCCCGGUGUAGCGGUGAAAUGCGCAGAUAUCGGGAGGAACACCAGUAGCGAAGGCGGCUCGCUGGGCCAUACCUGACGCUGAGACGCGAAAGCGUGGGGAGCAAACAGG
This 253-nucleotide ribosomal RNA is filed under the name uncultured bacterium. RNAcentral's name for it is "partial 16S ribosomal RNA". It matches the Rfam family "Bacterial small subunit ribosomal RNA", at positions 524 to 776 of the family's 1533-position model. The record is from RNAcentral.